GACUCAGUACAAGUUCGGUCGCUCAGGGGAGUCCUGUGAAUGUCCACAGUGUGAACUUGCGGUCGACAGAUGGAACACAGAGAAUAAAACUCUGCGGAAGUCCCUCAGUUCAGGCUGCUAUUCGAGGUGGUGAACGUCAAGGUGGCGCUGAUGACACAUUUGGGAUUAAAGAUUGCAGCCCGAAUGCAACAAGAAGAAGUGAUGGGAUGUGAGUGGACCCAAGAAGGACCAGAAAAGGACAGGAAGACACAGUACACGUGCAUCAAGAGGAAGUAAACCCAUCUGCAAUACAAACCAGCCUUAAUAUGUGUUCAAUUGGACUCAUUAUUUACAAAAAAUA
Oncorhynchus masou masou (cherry salmon) is the source of this 340-nucleotide long non-coding RNA. RefSeq lists it as uncharacterized. Lineage: Eukaryota; Metazoa; Chordata; Actinopteri; Salmoniformes; Salmonidae. The transcript is spliced from 3 exons. The record is from RefSeq and is a predicted model, not a curated record.